GAUGAACGCUGGCGGCGUGCUUAACACAUGCAAGUCGAACGGAAAGGCUCCUGCUUGCAGGGGUACUCGAGUGGCGAACGGGUGAGUAACACGUGGGUGAUCUGCCCUGCACUUCGGGAUAAGCCUGGGAAACUGGGUCUAAUACCGGAUAGGACCACAUUUUGGAUGGUGUGGUGGAAAGUUUUUCGGUGUGGGAUGAGCUCGCGGCCUAUCAGCUUGUUGGUGGGGUAAUGGCCUACCAAGGCGUCGACGGGUAGCCGGCCUGAGAGGGUGUACGGCCACAUUGGGCCUGGAAAACGGCCCGGACCCCACCGGGGGGAGGCGGGGGGGAAAUUUGCACAAGGGGCGCAGGCCUGAGGAGGGGACGCCGGGGGGGGAUGACGGCCUUCGGGUUGUAAACUCCUUUCGCUAGGGACGAAGCGUUUUUGUGACGGUACCUGGAGAAGAAGCACCGGCUAACUACGUG
RNAcentral lists this ribosomal RNA (466 nucleotides) under uncultured bacterium. Its description in RNAcentral is "partial 16S ribosomal RNA". It matches the Rfam family "Bacterial small subunit ribosomal RNA", at positions 28 to 507 of the family's 1533-position model. The record is from RNAcentral.